RNAcentral lists this unclassified non-coding RNA (348 nucleotides) under soil metagenome. Its description in RNAcentral is "partial contains 5.8S ribosomal RNA, internal transcribed spacer 2, and large subunit ribosomal RNA". The stretch from base 1 to 120 matches the Rfam family "5.8S ribosomal RNA", at positions 35 to 154 of the family's 154-position model. The record is from RNAcentral.
GAUGAAGAACGCAGCAAAAUGCGAUAAGUAAUGUGAAUUGCAGAAUUCAGUGAAUCAUCGAAUCUUUGAACGCACAUUGCGCCCGCUGGUAUUCCGGCGGGCAUGCCUGUUCGAGCGUCAUUUCAACCCUCAAGCCCCCGGGUUUGGUGUUGGGGAUCGGCUCUGCCCUUCUGGGCGGUGCCGCCCCCGAAAUACAUUGGCGGUCUCACUGCAGCCUCCAUUGCGUAGUAGCUAACACCUCGCAACUGGAACGCGGCGCGGCCAUGCCGUAAAACCCCAACUUCUGAAUGUUGACCUCGGAUCAGGUAGGAAUACCCGCUGAACUUAAGCAUAUCAAUAAGCGGAGGA